UAAGCGGAGGAAAAGAAACUAACAAGGAUUUCCCUAGUAACGGCGAGCGAACCGGAAAGAGCCCAGCUUGAAAAUCUCGGGGCUUUGCCACGAGAAUUGUAGUCUGGAGAAGCGUCCUCUGCAGCGGACCGGGCCCAAGUUCCCUGGAACGGGACGUCGGAGAGGGUGAGAGCCCCGUCGAGCUCGGACCCUGCUGCUCCACGAGGCGCUGUCGGCGAGUCGGGCUGUUUGGGAAUGCAGCCCUAAGUGGGUGGUAAAUUCCAUCCAAGGCUAAAUACGGGCAAGAGACCGAUAGCGAACAAGUACCGCGAGGGAAAGAUGAAA
This is a ribosomal RNA of 324 nucleotides. It matches the Rfam family "Eukaryotic large subunit ribosomal RNA", at positions 47 to 369 of the family's 3401-position model.